This is a small nuclear RNA of Otolemur garnettii (small-eared galago), 105 nucleotides long. The record is from Ensembl. Lineage: Eukaryota; Metazoa; Chordata; Mammalia; Primates; Galagidae.
GUGCUCGCUUCAGCAGCACAUAUACUAAAACUGGAACGAUACAGAGAUUAGCACGGCCCCUGCGCAAGGAUGACCACGCAAAUUCAUGAAGCAUUCCAUAUUUUU